RNAcentral lists this ribosomal RNA (180 nucleotides) under uncultured Glomeromycotina. RNAcentral's name for it is "partial small subunit ribosomal RNA". It matches the Rfam family "Eukaryotic small subunit ribosomal RNA", at positions 653 to 830 of the family's 1831-position model. Lineage: Eukaryota; Fungi; Glomeromycota. The record is from RNAcentral.
GGAUCAAUUGAUUGGUCAUGCCUUGGUAUGAACUGGUCAUAUUGGUUCUCACCUUCUAAUGAACCAUAAUGUCAUUCACUUGAUGUUAUGGGGAAUUAGGACUGUUACCUUGAAAAAAUUAGAGUGUUCAAAGCAGGCAUAUGCUCGAAUACAUUAGCAUGGAAUAAUAGAAUAGGACGU